AAGCGCAGCUGCAAAAAAAAUCGAGUAGAGAAGAAGUAGGCAGACAAAGAAGAAGAAGAAGAAGUUCUCGGCGUGCUUCAAUGGCGAUAUCAGUAGCAGCUUCGUCCUCUAUGGCCGUGAUGGUUCCACGUGUUCCCGCCGUAUCCACCCGUUGCUCCGCCGUCCCUUAUCUUCCUCCUCGCUCCUUUGGCCGAUCCUCUUUCACCGUUCCGUUGAAGCUUGUUU
Molecule: small RNA, 225 nt
Filed under: Arabidopsis thaliana (thale cress)
Lineage: Eukaryota; Viridiplantae; Streptophyta; Magnoliopsida; Brassicales; Brassicaceae
Description: ATSL190320
Source: RNAcentral